Molecule: ribosomal RNA, 253 nt
Filed under: uncultured bacterium
Lineage: Bacteria
Description: partial 16S ribosomal RNA
Rfam family: Bacterial small subunit ribosomal RNA
Source: RNAcentral
UACGUAGGGUGCAAGCGUUAAUCGGAAUUACUGGGCGUAAAGCGUGCGCAGGCGGCUUUGCAAGACAGAUGUGAAAUCCCCGGGCUCAACCUGGGAACUGCAUUUGUGACUGCAGGGCUGGAGUACGGCAGAGGGGGAUGGAAUUCCGCGUGUAGCAGUGAAAUGCGUAGAUAUUCGGAGGAACACCAGUGGCGAAGGCGACUACCUGGCCUGUUCUUGACGCUGAGGCGCGAAAGCUAGGGGAGCAAACGGG